CUUCUACACCCAAUCUUAUCCUUUAAUCCAACAUCGAGGUCGCAAUCUUCCUUGUCGAUUAGAACUCUCAAAGAAAAUUACGCUGUUAUCCCUAAGGUAACUUAAUCUUUCAAUCACUAUUAAUGGAUCAAUAUUUCAUACAUCAAUGGUAAAAAUUUUAAAGAGUUCAUCAAAUCUUUAUAUCACCCCAACAAAAUAAAUUUUAAUAUAAAUUAAAUUAUACACCUAAAAUAAAAUUAUUUUCAUUUAUAAAGCUCUAUAGGGKCUUCUCGUCCUCCAAUUACAUUUAAGCUUUUUGACUCAAAAAUUAAAUUCUACUUAUUAAAUUGUAGACAGUUAAUACCUCGUUAAACCAUUCAUUCCAGCCUCCAAUUAAAAGACUAAUGAUUAUGCUACCUUUGUACAGUCAAAAUACUGCAGCCCUUCAAUUUAUAAUCAGGGGGCAGGGCUGACCUUAUAUUAUUCUCAAAAGAACAUGUUUUUGUUAAAC
Molecule: ribosomal RNA, 490 nt
Filed under: Ceuthophilus guttulosus
Lineage: Eukaryota; Metazoa; Arthropoda; Insecta; Orthoptera; Rhaphidophoridae
Description: partial 16S ribosomal RNA
Source: RNAcentral